UGCACCUGCCAUGGAAGGACCCUGGGUGGUA
RNAcentral lists this non-coding RNA (31 nucleotides) under Homo sapiens (human). Lineage: Eukaryota; Metazoa; Chordata; Mammalia; Primates; Hominidae. The record is from RNAcentral.